This is a non-coding RNA of Candidatus Regiella insecticola 5.15, 127 nucleotides long. The record is from Rfam. NCBI's taxonomy places the organism in Bacteria, Pseudomonadati, Pseudomonadota, Gammaproteobacteria, Enterobacterales, Enterobacteriaceae.
CCAUUUGUAUCACCAGGCGACCCUAGGAUCCUGAAUAAAAAAGCGGAUCUGACAAUGUAACAAAGCGUAAUUACACGCGGGAUACAAAUCGUGAGAGGCGUAUCUUCCUGAUAACCACAAAUCGAGU